Molecule: non-coding RNA, 29 nt
Filed under: Mus musculus (house mouse)
Lineage: Eukaryota; Metazoa; Chordata; Mammalia; Rodentia; Muridae
Source: RNAcentral
UGCACUGGAGGAAGUGUGUAAUGUGUGUA